Schistosoma curassoni is the source of this 46-nucleotide non-coding RNA. The record is from Rfam. NCBI's taxonomy places the organism in Eukaryota, Metazoa, Platyhelminthes, Trematoda, Strigeidida, Schistosomatidae.
GCACUGCUGAGGAGUCCCAUACCAGGACGAAACGGCCGCCCAGUGU